GCCGGGGUGGCGGAACUGGUAGACGCUGGGGACUUAAAAUCCCCUGGUCGCAAGGCCAUGUGGGUUCGACUCCCACCCCCGGCACGA
This 87-nucleotide transfer RNA is filed under the name Acidobacteriota bacterium. RNAcentral describes it as "Acidobacteria bacterium tRNA-Leu". It matches the Rfam family "tRNA". From Rfam's summary of the family: Transfer RNA (tRNA) molecules are approximately 80 nucleotides in length. Their secondary structure includes four short double-helical elements and three loops (D, anti-codon, and T loops). Further hydrogen bonds mediate the characteristic L-shaped molecular structure. tRNAs have two regions of fundamental functional importance: the anti-codon, which is responsible for specific mRNA codon recognition, and the 3' end, to which the tRNAs corresponding amino acid is attached (by aminoacyl-tRNA synthetases). tRNAs cope with the degeneracy of the genetic code in two manners: having more than one tRNA (with a specific anti-codon) for a particular amino acid; and 'wobble' base-pairing, i.e. permitting non-standard base-pairing at the 3rd anti-codon position. Lineage: Bacteria; Pseudomonadati; Acidobacteriota. The record is from RNAcentral.